AUGGGUCGAGUUGACAAGUUUUGCUUGAGAGUGAGGAUUUGAUGGUAGGGUUUCGUGAUGUGUAGGGAGUGGUAAGAUUCGGAAUUUAGAAAUUAAAGUAGUAAAAGUAUGUAUAUAUGAAAGUAAUAUCUAAGCCCUAAGAGUUUGCUUAUGACACCAUAAUUAGUGGUUUCAUGAGUCCCAAAUUGCCCAUUGUAAUCAUAACAAGAACUCUAGAAUCUUUGAUAUGAUAGCUUAGGUUUAUGAUGGCUAAUCAUGGUAUGAUUAACACCACAAACUCAGCCAUGUUUUUAUAUAUUUAUGUAUAGUUUAUAUAGUAAUAAUACAUCCUAAAACUAAGUCCAAUCAAGUAUUGUCAUAUAACAUCAUGUAUGUCAAGCAUGGAGGUUAGAAAACCUCAUUAUAUGAUUCACCACUACACACACCAUCAUGAAGAUGGUGGGAGGGUCAUGAAUAACAAGAAAGUAAUUCUAAUCUAACAAGUCAUGAGAGUGUUCACAAGGUUCAAAUGAAAGAGAGCAACUUAGUUUGAAAGCCAAAGCUUCCAUUUGUUCACACUUCACAAGUCACAAGUUCAUCAUAUAGAAGAUGAUGUCUUGUGCUUGUUUUCAUCAUUGGUAAACCAUGUAUAAACAGAAAAUAAAAGGGGUAUUUGAACCCAAAACUUUGAUGGAAAUCCCCUAAACACAAACCCACAACCAUAGACUAUGUUGUGAGCUUGGUGAGAAUAAGAUUCCACCAUGUUUUCUAUCAAAACAUGAACAUAUAAGAAAUAAAAACGAGCAGAAAGUUUGUUGCACUUUGGGCCUCAAAAAUGGUGAGUUUUCACCUUAGUUUGCCCAAGCAACUUGUGAAAACCUUCGUAGAGGUUAUCCAAGUGUCAAUAAGAAAGAAAUGAGAAGAAAAUCGAAGUAGAAGUGAGUUAAAACUCACUUAGAAGGCUGAAAAUUUUCUGAUAUGUUGCUGAAAACUCAGCUGUAUUUAGAGAGGUUUUUGAGUGAUUUAGAGUGUU
This 1012-nucleotide long non-coding RNA is filed under the name Helianthus annuus (common sunflower). RNAcentral describes it as "hypothetical non coding rna". The record is from RNAcentral. Lineage: Eukaryota; Viridiplantae; Streptophyta; Magnoliopsida; Asterales; Asteraceae.